CUGAGAAGUCACCUCUCUCGGUUGAGUCCCCCUCUCCUCGCGACAGCAGAGCCGCUUUUGCUUUCCUUCAGCACCACUUUCCAUCCUAUUCUCCCUCUCUCCCCUACAUCCCCGAAACGCUUACCAGCGAGCGUCAGCGCAGAGAGAUGACGAGCAAUUGGGGGAAAUAAAUCACGUUUCAGUGCAAUUUAUUCCUUCGAAAAAUAGAGGAUGAUGAGAACAUAGAAGAAAACAACAUAGGCAGUAAAGAAGGAAAAGGAGGAAACACAAAUUAUUAUAACAUAACGCACAAGUUCGUCAGCGGUCCAGCUGUCGGCAUAUUUCAUUUAUUUCGGGUUAAUUGCACGUUUACUGUAGACUAGCUAUGUCGCAGCGGGAGGAUAUUGAAAAAGGCAGAGGGGGGUAGGUUGCUGAGAGAGAGGGAGAUAGCCUUGGCAGCAUAUUAUUAUAAUGAUGCUGAGUGAGUGACUGAUCCACGCAUUCAAAUUGCGCUGGCGACUUUAAUUUGGAACUACAAUUCAGCAAGGGCGAUAUUGUAUUUUCGUCUGCUUCUGGAAGGCAUCGGGAGGAACCUGCAAAUUUCCCGAACAAUGCUCCAAGUGGCGCCUUUUAUCAGGCUCGGAAGAAAGAAAGCGGAGCAAAGGACGACUGCUAUAGAGAGAGUAACUGUGAAAGGCUGAGGCUACAGCGGCGCACCAAACGACAGGUGUGACUGGAGAGGGAUUUCAUCUCCUCUGAUCAACACAGAGAGGAAUCUGUCUCUACUUACGUCAGAACAGGUCGACCUAAAAAGAUUUUCAACAGUUUCAAGAACGCUACCCUCAAAGAAGCAAGGUUGGAGUCAGCAUGAAGGUCUUUGAAUGGGACUGAGUAUCAUGUCUUAUGAUUGGCCUCAGUUAAUUAUUUUCAAAUACCAAAGCCCAAUAAUGGUUUAAUGCUCGCAAUGUUGUUUGUUCAAGAACACUUUUCUGUCUCCUAGAAGACUAAUAUAUAUACUAAUAUAUGUGGGAUUCAGUUUUGGUAAAGGAACUGAGGCAUACAAUAGAAUAGAAUAGAAUAGGGCAACAGGAUCUUAGGCUAAACCUACUUUUAUUAUUUUUAGAUCAGUCGAAAUAUUCAGUCUCCUUAGUAUAUUCCAUCCCAUUCUGCCCAGCU
RNAcentral lists this long non-coding RNA (1155 nucleotides) under Salmo trutta (river trout). Its description in RNAcentral is "lncRNA (ENSSTUG00000027068.1)". The record is from RNAcentral. Lineage: Eukaryota; Metazoa; Chordata; Actinopteri; Salmoniformes; Salmonidae.